CUAGUAACCGGGCUGCGUAUGUUAAGAGUACUUUCUAGUUACCAGACACUUUUAUUAAUAGGUUCACCAGGGGAUUGGCUGCAUAUUUUGUUAAGCAACUUCUAUAAUCGUGUUGGUAAGCUGUAUCAUUUUCCAGUUACCAUGCCGCAAACGUCAGAAUGGUUUUGAAUCUACACAGCUUUUCUGAAUAAUAUAUUCCCAAACUUUAGAUGCAAAUAUAGGAGUCCUGCAUUCAUAUUGGACUUUAGAAGUUGAGCUCCUUAUAUGGUCGUGGAUUAUAAAAUCUAUAGGAUCUGGGUCAAUUUUGGACUUUUUGUUGAAGUAUAUGAGGUGCUGUGUCAUGUGAUAAUUUUACUUGUAUAGUGCUAAUGUCUUGUAGAGUUGUUACUUGAGUCUUGAGGGAUGAACCUAAUGUUUGAAUACAAAUACCGGACAUCUAUAGUUGUUUUUCUUACUGUCUCUAACUCUCACUGCCCUCCUCUUCUUCUCCUUCACUUCCUCCUCCUCCUUAUCCAUCUUCUUGCUGAACAUAUAGUUCAAGAUCUGUUUAAAAUAGUUUAGCCAUCUGACUUGGAUGAUAUUCCUAUUGCCACUCUUGGUCGACUGAUGGUCUGUGGCCCUUAUCAUGAACCAUUACUGUGAUGCUUGAGUGCCCAGCCUCUCAUUCAUGCACUGGCAGCACAAAACAUAUUAAAGAGAGACUCUUUCUAGCCUGAUUCUGCAUGGUUUCCUGUGUCUGCUACAUGAUAUGAAGGUAUCCAUUGGCCUCCAAGCUUACUGCUGAUUGCUGACUCUUCCUAUACAUAAAACGAUGUUAUGUUCUUUUCAGUUCUGAAAGCAUCUGCAUCAGACUGCCUCUAUGACUAAAUCUGUCUUCUUCUGUGCCUGUUUUCUUCCUGGUGACAUAAUGCUGCUACAUCAAGAAUAAGAAACACUCUUGAUAUUUUGUUCAAUAAGCCUAUACCAUUUUCAUUACCUAUCUGUCCAUAUAUUUCCCCCGUUUGAUGGUCAAGAGAGUUCUGUAUCUUGACUGGUUCUCACUUGAUUAAAAUAUGAAUCUGCCGAACCUAAUGAGGUAGCUGAUACAUGCUUACCAUUUGCACACUUUGUAGUCUUAUACCAUGGCAAUGGGAUUUGCACAUCAUUGGUCAAGGUUCAAAAUGCAAUUACUGAAUGCAUUUGUUUCCUUCACUUUGCUAAAUACAUGGUUUAUAUAUGUUUUGUUCACUUUGCAAUAUGUUGCUGCUUUGUUUAUGAUCUUUUGAUUUUUAGGGCCUUGUGUGAAGUUCAGAAUUAUCCUACAGGGAGUUCAAUUAAUUGAUUUUAAUAUGCAAAUAACAAUUCUAAGAUAAUUGUUGCUUUUCAUUUUGGUGUACAGUGGUUGGAAUUUACGAUGUAUGGACUCUGGCAA
RNAcentral lists this unclassified non-coding RNA (1411 nucleotides) under Hevea brasiliensis (rubber tree). Lineage: Eukaryota; Viridiplantae; Streptophyta; Magnoliopsida; Malpighiales; Euphorbiaceae. The record is from RNAcentral.